CUCGGGAGCUGGGGGACGGGAUGGGACUGCCUUGUUUGUCUUGCCGUAGGUGCUGUGGCCCUGGCUUCAGCCGGUCUCUUAAACAGGAGUCUUUAUAGUCAGACCUCCGGUCCUC
This is a microRNA precursor of Equus asinus (donkey), 115 nucleotides long. The record is from Ensembl. Lineage: Eukaryota; Metazoa; Chordata; Mammalia; Perissodactyla; Equidae.